AGAGACUAAGCUUAAGCAUUCUGUUCUUGGCCAGCCUGGUGGCUUUUGCCGCUGCCCAAAGUGCCUCUGAUGUCAUAGCUUAUUGGACUGACUACAAUACUACGGAUAAUGGCUGGACAAUACCUUCCUUUUGCGCCGCAGUGGAUGGUGAUAAGCCCUUGGAAUGGCGCAGCAAAUACGGAUGGACCGGCUUCUGUGGACCGAAUGGUACUCAGGGGGUAGAUUCUUGUGGCAAGUGCUUAAAUGUAAGGACUUAAGCUUUGUUUCCUUGAUAAUUUUGUUAUUUAUCUUGUCCUAUUUGUCUUUUGUCUUCUAUAAGAAAGCUCGUGUCUUCAUUAAAAUUUCUGAGCUAUACGUAUAAUUUAUUCCCGUGCGCACGUGAAGGUGACCAACACUGCUACUGGAGCUUUUGAAACGGUGAGAAUCGUCGAUACAUGCGGCGCUGGAGGCCUAGAGUUGGACCUCGAGACUGCGUUUAAACCCAUUGACACUGAUGGAAAAGGCUUUCAAGAUGGUCACCUUACUGUGGACUAUGAAUUUGUGGACUGUGAUGCAGACGACGACGUCCCAGAUGCUACCAAUGUCACGGCUUAUUGGACUGACUACAAUGCUACGAAUAAUGGCUGGGUCAUACCUCCUUUUUGCGCCGGAGUGGAUGGUGAUAAGCCCUUGGAAUGGCGCAGCAAAUAUGGAUGGACCGGCUUCUGUGGACCAGUUGGUCCUACGGGGGUAGACGCUUGUGGCAAGUGCUUGAAG
This 756-nucleotide long non-coding RNA is filed under the name Theobroma cacao (cacao). RNAcentral describes it as "long non-coding RNA (TCAC_LNC005915)". The record is from RNAcentral. Lineage: Eukaryota; Viridiplantae; Streptophyta; Magnoliopsida; Malvales; Malvaceae.